This 450-nucleotide ribosomal RNA is filed under the name uncultured bacterium. Its description in RNAcentral is "partial 16S ribosomal RNA". It matches the Rfam family "Bacterial small subunit ribosomal RNA", at positions 354 to 796 of the family's 1533-position model. The record is from RNAcentral.
GUUAGGAAUAUUGGACAAUGGGCGCAAGCCUGAUCCAGCAAUGCCGCGUGCAGGAAGAAGGCCUUCGGGUUGUAAACUGCUUUUGUACGGAACGAAACGGUCCGGGUUAAUACCCUGGGCUAAUGACGGUACCGUAAGAAUAAGCACCGGCUAACUACGUGCCAGCAGCCGCGGUAAUACGUAGGGUGCAAGCGUUAAUCGGAAUUACUGGGCGUAAAGCGUGCGCAGGCGGUUUUGUAAGACAGGCGUGAAAUCCCCGGGCUCAACCUGGGAAUUGCGCUUGUGACUGCAAGGCUGGAGUGCGGCAGAGGGGGAUGGAAUUCCGCGUGUAGCAGUGAAAUGCGUAGAUAUGCGGAGGAACACCGAUGGCGAAGGCAAUCCCCUGGGCCUGCACUGACGCUCAUGCACGAAAGCGUGGGGAGCAAACAGGAUUAGAAACCCCAGUAGUCC